This 255-nucleotide ribosomal RNA is filed under the name uncultured bacterium. RNAcentral's name for it is "partial 16S ribosomal RNA". It matches the Rfam family "Bacterial small subunit ribosomal RNA", at positions 524 to 777 of the family's 1533-position model. The record is from RNAcentral.
UACGAAGGGUGCAAGCGUUACUCGGAAUUACUGGGCGUAAAGCGUGCGUAGGUGGUUUGUUAAGUCUGCUGUGAAAGCCCCGGGCUCAACCUGGGAAUGGCAGUGGAUACUGGCAAGCUAGAGUGCGGUAGAGGGAUGUGGAAUUCCCGGUGUAGCGGUGAAGAUGCGUAGAGAUCGGGAGGAACACCAGUGGCGAAGGCGGCAUCCUGGACCGACAUUGACGCUGAUGAGCGAAAGCUAGGGGAGCAAACGGGG